GCACGGGUGUCCGAGUCUGGUCAAAGGAGCUGGACCGAGGCUCCAGUGGCGAAGGCCUGCGAGGGUUCGAAGCCCUUCCCGUGCA
This 85-nucleotide transfer RNA is filed under the name Candidatus Helarchaeota archaeon. RNAcentral's name for it is "tRNA-Leu". It matches the Rfam family "tRNA". Rfam says of the family: Transfer RNA (tRNA) molecules are approximately 80 nucleotides in length. The record is from RNAcentral. Lineage: Archaea; Promethearchaeati; Candidatus Helarchaeota.